This 2921-nucleotide ribosomal RNA is filed under the name Staphylococcus aureus. Its description in RNAcentral is "bacterial LSU rRNA". It matches the Rfam family "Bacterial large subunit ribosomal RNA". The record is from RNAcentral. RNAcentral also lists the same sequence under 1 other name. Lineage: Bacteria; Bacillati; Bacillota; Bacilli; Caryophanales; Staphylococcaceae.
UUAAGUUAUUAAGGGCGCACGGUGGAUGCCUUGGCACUAGAAGCCGAUGAAGGACGUUACUAACGACGAUAUGCUUUGGGGAGCUGUAAGUAAGCUUUGAUCCAGAGAUUUCCGAAUGGGGAAACCCAGCAUGAGUUAUGUCAUGUUAUCGAUAUGUGAAUACAUAGCAUAUCAGAAGGCACACCCGGAGAACUGAAACAUCUUAGUACCCGGAGGAAGAGAAAGAAAAUUCGAUUCCCUUAGUAGCGGCGAGCGAAACGGGAAGAGCCCAAACCAACAAGCUUGCUUGUUGGGGUUGUAGGACACUCUAUACGGAGUUACAAAGGACGACAUUAGACGAAUCAUCUGGAAAGAUGAAUCAAAGAAGGUAAUAAUCCUGUAGUCGAAAAUGUUGUCUCUCUUGAGUGGAUCCUGAGUACGACGGAGCACGUGAAAUUCCGUCGGAAUCUGGGAGGACCAUCUCCUAAGGCUAAAUACUCUCUAGUGACCGAUAGUGAACCAGUACCGUGAGGGAAAGGUGAAAAGCACCCCGGAAGGGGAGUGAAAUAGAACCUGAAACCGUGUGCUUACAAGUAGUCAGAGCCCGUUAAUGGGUGAUGGCGUGCCUUUUGUAGAAUGAACCGGCGAGUUACGAUUUGAUGCAAGGUUAAGCAGUAAAUGUGGAGCCGUAGCGAAAGCGAGUCUGAAUAGGGCGUUUAGUAUUUGGUCGUAGACCCGAAACCAGGUGAUCUACCCUUGGUCAGGUUGAAGUUCAGGUAACACUGAAUGGAGGACCGAACCGACUUACGUUGAAAAGUGAGCGGAUGAACUGAGGGUAGCGGAGAAAUUCCAAUCGAACCUGGAGAUAGCUGGUUCUCUCCGAAAUAGCUUUAGGGCUAGCCUCAAGUGAUGAUUAUUGGAGGUAGAGCACUGUUUGGACGAGGGGCCCCUCUCGGGUUACCGAAUUCAGACAAACUCCGAAUGCCAAUUAAUUUAACUUGGGAGUCAGAACAUGGGUGAUAAGGUCCGUGUUCGAAAGGGAAACAGCCCAGACCACCAGCUAAGGUCCCAAAAUAUAUGUUAAGUGGAAAAGGAUGUGGCGUUGCCCAGACAACUAGGAUGUUGGCUUAGAAGCAGCCAUCAUUUAAAGAGUGCGUAAUAGCUCACUAGUCGAGUGACACUGCGCCGAAAAUGUACCGGGGCUAAACAUAUUACCGAAGCUGUGGAUUGUCCUUUGGACAAUGGUAGGAGAGCGUUCUAAGGGCGUUGAAGCAUGAUCGUAAGGACAUGUGGAGCGCUUAGAAGUGAGAAUGCCGGUGUGAGUAGCGAAAGACGGGUGAGAAUCCCGUCCACCGAUUGACUAAGGUUUCCAGAGGAAGGCUCGUCCGCUCUGGGUUAGUCGGGUCCUAAGCUGAGGCCGACAGGCGUAGGCGAUGGAUAACAGGUUGAUAUUCCUGUACCACCUAUAAUCAUUUUAAUCGAUGGGGGGACGCAGUAGGAUAGGCGAAGCGUGCGAUUGGAUUGCACGUCUAAGCAGUAAGGCUGAGUAUUAGGCAAAUCCGGUACUCGUUAAGGCUGAGCUGUGAUGGGGAGAAGACAUUGUGUCUUCGAGUCGUUGAUUUCACACUGCCGAGAAAAGCCUCUAGAUAGAAAAUAGGUGCCCGUACCGCAAACCGACACAGGUAGUCAAGAUGAGAAUUCUAAGGUGAGCGAGCGAACUCUCGUUAAGGAACUCGGCAAAAUGACCCCGUAACUUCGGGAGAAGGGGUGCUCUUUAGGGUUAACGCCCAGAAGAGCCGCAGUGAAUAGGCCCAAGCGACUGUUUAUCAAAAACACAGGUCUCUGCUAAACCGUAAGGUGAUGUAUAGGGGCUGACGCCUGCCCGGUGCUGGAAGGUUAAGAGGAGUGGUUAGCUUCUGCGAAGCUACGAAUCGAAGCCCCAGUAAACGGCGGCCGUAACUAUAACGGUCCUAAGGUAGCGAAAUUCCUUGUCGGGUAAGUUCCGACCCGCACGAAAGGCGUAACGAUUUGGGCACUGUCUCAACGAGAGACUCGGUGAAAUCAUAGUACCUGUGAAGAUGCAGGUUACCCGCGACAGGACGGAAAGACCCCGUGGAGCUUUACUGUAGCCUGAUAUUGAAAUUCGGCACAGCUUGUACAGGAUAGGUAGGAGCCUUUGAAACGUGAGCGCUAGCUUACGUGGAGGCGCUGGUGGGAUACUACCCUAGCUGUGUUGGCUUUCUAACCCGCACCACUUAUCGUGGUGGGAGACAGUGUCAGGCGGGCAGUUUGACUGGGGCGGUCGCCUCCUAAAAGGUAACGGAGGCGCUCAAAGGUUCCCUCAGAAUGGUUGGAAAUCAUUCAUAGAGUGUAAAGGCAUAAGGGAGCUUGACUGCGAGACCUACAAGUCGAGCAGGGUCGAAAGACGGACUUAGUGAUCCGGUGGUUCCGCAUGGAAGGGCCAUCGCUCAACGGAUAAAAGCUACCCCGGGGAUAACAGGCUUAUCUCCCCCAAGAGUUCACAUCGACGGGGAGGUUUGGCACCUCGAUGUCGGCUCAUCGCAUCCUGGGGCUGUAGUCGGUCCCAAGGGUUGGGCUGUUCGCCCAUUAAAGCGGUACGCGAGCUGGGUUCAGAACGUCGUGAGACAGUUCGGUCCCUAUCCGUCGUGGGCGUAGGAAAUUUGAGAGGAGCUGUCCUUAGUACGAGAGGACCGGGAUGGACAUACCUCUGGUGUACCAGUUGUCGUGCCAACGGCAUAGCUGGGUAGCUAUGUGUGGACGGGAUAAGUGCUGAAAGCAUCUAAGCAUGAAGCCCCCCUCAAGAUGAGAUUUCCCAACUUCGGUUAUAAGAUCCCUCAAAGAUGAUGAGGUUAAUAGGUUCGAGGUGGAAGCAUGGUGACAUGUGGAGCUGACGAAUACUAAUCGAUCGAAGACUUAAUCAA